GACUGGGUGGUAGGAGUGUGCUGAGUGCGAUUGCUCUGGCCUGGCUGGGGGGGACUGGUUGGGAGGAGUGUGCUGAGUGCGAUUGCUCUGGCCUGGCUGGGGGGGGACUGGUUGGGAGGAGUGUGAUUGCUCUGGCCUGGCUGGAGGGACUGGCUGGGAGGAGUGCGCAGUGUGCGAAUGUGGUGCACAAGCCUUUAGUUUUGGCCAGAGCUAAGUUGUUAGGGGAGAGCCUUUCACUGUUGCACCAGUGUGCGAUACCAUACAGCGUCUCCCCUUUCACCCUCUGAUCACUGUGCAACGCCAGUUUCCUUCCCCACUCGCACCUCCCCAGCAGGUAAGAUGGCAAGAAACACAGGACAUGGUUUGGCUCUCCUCAACCUCUUAAACUCCGUCUCGACUUCUCUCUUAGUUAUUUUUUUCCUUCUUUCUCUUCCCGUUGGCAAAGCCCCCAGGAGUGCAGGAGGAAGGAGCGAGGGAGGAGACGGAAGGGGAGGGAAGUGCCCAACCGAACGAGUGGAUUAGUGAUUAAAAAUAUAUUUGCGUGUUACAAAAAAUGAGGCGCUGUUCUUUCUUGCUUUUCCAGAUCCACGGGCACAGGGUGUAGGAUGUAGGACUGUUUUCCCCAGUGGAGUCGUGCGCUGUCGUUCUGUCCCAGGCCCACCCUGCAGCGAGCCGGCUGCGACCGGUGCCCUGCGGCGCGUCAAUAGCAAUACAGAACAUCGGGUGCCUUGAUACCAAGACGACAUUGCCGUGUCGGAAACCGGAAUUGUGCGUAUUUAUUAUUUGUACUUUAAUUUGCAAGACGGUCGCUUUGGGGACCCACCUCGGAAUCUUCUCCGCAGGUUGUAAGGUUGUGCGCGUGUAUCGAUGUUUUGCGUGGACAAAUCUCGAGAUGCAGACUGGGAACCAAAGACACAUCUUCCAGCCUCCUGGCCCAGGGACAGUUUACCUCGGCUGGGCCAGUGCUGGCUCUCCAUCGCCACCUCCUGGGCGGCCGGGCCACCAUCCUGCACCUGCAGUGUAUCCUCCCUCUCCAGCAGUAGGAGCCAGGUGUGUACAGUAUCCCCACUCUGUGCGUCGACGCCAGGUCUGUUUACUGUAAACAUUUUGCACCUGGUCGGAAACCCGUAGGGCUUGGCCGUACCUGCACACCUGUCGUGCAUGUACUGCUUUCCCUGCACUCCCGGUGACCCUCAACGGUCAGGAUGGGUGCCGCCCACCCUGGUCUGGAAAGCUCUAAUAAGUCUUCCAGGUCUCCCUUAACUCAUCAAUUUCUGUACAGACCUGGAACACGUGGCGUCUGGUCGAAUGAGCCAGUUAACUGUCUCCGUUCAGUCGGGACGGGCCUGAGGUCGCCAAGAUCUACAGGGGUCGUGGGAUUUCCGUGUAGGAGGAUGCUGCUUUGUUGCAUCAGACCUCCUGCUUCGAUGGUCACAACAGGACUGUUCCAGGCGUUUAGAAACUGGUGGUUUCAGGGUCGCCUAUUAAAUCUGUGGGACCGGGGCUCCCCAGAACCAGGGGCUAUGUGUGCAUACUUUUAGAUCUAGUGAGGGUGGGGCUCACUGGCCGAGGACAGACUGCCAACACUGUGGAGUCGCAAUAGGCAAGAGAUCCGAGGAGGUCGCUCCUCUCUCGAACCGUGGGUGCAGACUUGGCCUCAGACAGUUCGCCAGCACAUCCACCAGCCGAGCUGGACAUUUCCCGUCUUACUCUGUGAUCAUUCUUCUGCCUUCCUAGUGCAUUCAUUUCAGCGGUGCUUCCCUGAUACCAGGUGCAAAAUCGAAAGAGAAAAAACUUUUUUUUAUUUUUUUUUCCACUUUGUAAAAUGUUUUUUUUUUUCCAUGUAAAAUGUUUAGUUGCUUGUCUUAAAUAUUACACUGUCAUGGAUGCACUC
Lepisosteus oculatus (spotted gar) is the source of this 1894-nucleotide non-coding RNA. Lineage: Eukaryota; Metazoa; Chordata; Actinopteri; Semionotiformes; Lepisosteidae. The record is from RefSeq and is a predicted model, not a curated record.